This 214-nucleotide long non-coding RNA is filed under the name Lathyrus oleraceus (garden pea). RNAcentral describes it as "Pisum sativum (pea) long non-coding RNA (PSAT_LNC029673)". The record is from RNAcentral. Lineage: Eukaryota; Viridiplantae; Streptophyta; Magnoliopsida; Fabales; Fabaceae.
UUUUUUUAAAAUAAUAAAUUUAUAAUAUACUAAAAUGAAUAAUUAAUAUCUUACAAAAAAUUAAAAUAAAAUAAAUCAUAUCAUCAUCGGAAUCGAAAACCUCAUUAAUGUUAGGAUUAUCGUCAUCUUCGUCAUCCAUCUGUUCUUGACCACCAACUCCUUCAUUUUCACCAAACGAUUGAUUACCGCUCUUUCGUGAUUGCAUAAAUUGUCG